Long non-coding RNA from Brassica rapa (field mustard), 1168 nucleotides. RefSeq lists it as uncharacterized. Lineage: Eukaryota; Viridiplantae; Streptophyta; Magnoliopsida; Brassicales; Brassicaceae. The record is from RefSeq and is a predicted model, not a curated record.
ACCAAAAAUUGGUUCUGAAGUUUAUAGGGCUUAACCCAUUUAUUUUGCUUCAAACAAUUUUUAUACAACUGCAAAAUCGAACUUUUACGCUAAAACUGAAAAUCGAGUUUUUUCUAAAAAGUAAAAACCACAAAAUUGAAUUUUCUGCUAAAAUCGAAAAAAAUAAAUUUUCCCACUAAAACAAAAAAAAUUAAAUUUUCCUUCAAAAUGAAAAUUGAGUAUUCUCACAAAAACCACAAAAUCGAGUAUUCUCACAAACCAAAAAAAUUUAUAAAAGAUUAUAAAUACAUUUAUAAAAAUUUUAUAAAAUCAAGGAAGCUACAGCAAUCGCUAUAUGGGCCUUAACCCAAAACGUUGACUGCUGUAAGCAUUGGGACAGUCUCUAUAAGGAGAAUCUUGAAGCUAGUGUUGCUCUUCUUAAAAGGCUUGUAGAGGAAUGGAAGGAGCAUUCCCUCAAGCUAUCAGAAUCACCGAGUAAUACUGCUGCUCUCAAUCGAACUAUGAAGAGCUUCAGGCUUAAGAACGAGGAAGCAAUCACUGAAGGAAGAGGCAAAGGUUCUCCAUAAAAAGAAGCUGACAAGUCCUGCAAAGUGAUAUCAGGGAGACUCUCCCGUGGAAGUGGCUGCCUCAAAGGAACAGCCAUUACUGUUGUGGUUUUAGCAGCUGCCGCAGCUGUUCUGUCUUCCAACCCUGAGGCGACGUCCGAGCUGAAGAGCCUGGUGGACUCAUUGGAGAUGCACCAAUACUAUAAUCCAGUCAUUACAGCUUUUAAUAAUUAAGAGAGGAGAGAAACAAAAACAACCUGAGGAUGAUAACCAGAGGUUAACUCUGAUUGUAGACUGUUUAAAUUUGAGUCAAAAGACAAUUUUGUUUCUUUUUGAUAAAAAAGAUAAUUUUGUUUCUUUCCAUCUUUUUUUUUCCAUAAAUGACAAUAAAGUUAUUUCUUUUUUAUUAUAUGCCUCGAGUAAAAAAAGAGCCUGCACAAGUUGAUUUAUUUGACUAAUGAGUGUAUAUACAUUCACAAUCAUCUUAAUAGUCGUAGUCUUCUGGCUUUGCAAAUGGGUACUUGAGGUAACCGUUCUUGAUAGUGGAAGGGUCUUUUGGUUUGUCCCAAGGAUACUUCAUAGAUGGAUCUCUUGGGAACUUUCUGAAGUUGAGAAAUGGUGCC